This 598-nucleotide ribosomal RNA is filed under the name Malassezia sympodialis. RNAcentral's name for it is "eukaryotic LSU rRNA". The stretch from base 153 to 306 matches the Rfam family "5.8S ribosomal RNA". Lineage: Eukaryota; Fungi; Basidiomycota; Malasseziomycetes; Malasseziales; Malasseziaceae. The record is from RNAcentral.
GGGCCUGCCAUACGGACGCAAACACGUCUCUGGCGCCCAUCACUAUAUCCAUACCAACCCCUGUGCACUGUGAUGACGAAUGUCAUCGAACAAAAAAAACUCGUAUGGUUGAAUGUACGUGAAAUUGUAGGUAUAGCCUACGAACUAUACACAACUUUCGACAACGGAUCUCUUGGUUCUCCCAUCGAUGAAGAACGCAGCGAAACGCGAUAGGUAAUGUGAAUUGCAGAAUUCCGUGAAUCAUCGAAUCUUUGAACGCACCUUGCGCUCCAUGGUAUUCCGUGGAGCAUGCCUGUUUGAGUGCCGCGAAUUCUCCCUCCCCUUACGGUGGCCGAAAGGCCGAAGUAGGGCGGACGGGGUAGGAUGGGUGUUGCUGCCUGGGGAUUGUACCAGGCUCGCCCGAAAUGCAUAAGCGCCAGGACCCUCGCUACCGCUCUCUAGGGAAGAGUGGCUAAGCGACCGCUGAGCAUGGCAUGAUACGUCAUUUGCUGUGUGUGGGCGGCCGGUUGGAGAGGUGUCUGCUUUACCAGCCCUUUUUUAAUUCUGGUCUCAAAUCAGGUAGGAUCACCCGCUGAACUUAAGCAUAUCAAUAAGCGGG